Molecule: ribosomal RNA, 460 nt
Filed under: uncultured bacterium
Lineage: Bacteria
Description: partial 16S ribosomal RNA
Rfam family: Bacterial small subunit ribosomal RNA
Source: RNAcentral
CCUACGGGAGGCAGCAGUGAGGAAUAUUGGUCAAUGGGCGCGAGCCUGAACCAGCCAAGUAGCGUGAAGGAUGACUGCCCUACGUGUUGUAAACUUCUUUUAUAAAGGAAUAAAGUGAGGUACGUGUGCCUUUAUGUAUGUACUUUUUGAAGAAGGAUCGGCUAACUCCGGGCCAGCAGCCGCGGUAAUACGGAGGAUCCGAGCGUUAUCCGGAUUUAUUGGGUUUAAAGGGAGCGUAGAUGGGUUGUUAAGUCAGUUGUGAAAGUUUGCGGCUCAACCGUAAGAUUGCAAUUGAUACUGGCAGCCUUGAGUACAGUAGAGGUAGGCGGAAUUCGUGGUGUAGCGGUGAAAUGCUUAGAUAUCACGAAGAACUCCGAUUGCGAAGGCAGCUUACUAAACUGCCACUGACAUUGAUGCUCGAAAGUGUGGGUAUCAAACAGGAUUAGAUACCCCUGUAGUC